Long non-coding RNA from Carassius auratus (goldfish), 937 nucleotides. RefSeq lists it as uncharacterized. The transcript has 2 exons. The record is from RefSeq and is a predicted model, not a curated record. Lineage: Eukaryota; Metazoa; Chordata; Actinopteri; Cypriniformes; Cyprinidae.
UGUGUCAUUGUUGAAAGAUUGUGGCGUCACAGAUGAAGGUUGUUCUGCUCUGACUUCAGCUCUGAGAUCAAACCCCUCACACCUGAGAGAACUGGAUCUGUCUCUGAAUAAACUACGACAAUCAGGAGUGAAGUUACUCUCUGAUCUGAAAGAUGAUCCACGUUAUAAACUGAAGACAUUAAACUACUGACUCUCAGUAUUUAGACGUCAGUUCAGUUUCCUCAGGAUCAGCUGAUGGUGAAUAAGAGCCGCUACAGGAAUCAGUGAUGUGAAGUUAAAUGAAUGCAUGGAAGUGUAAUGUGUGGAGCAGUGUUGAUGAACAGAAGAAACAAGCUUCAAGGAAACUAAAGUAAUUCAUCAAAAGACGUUUUUAUCCAAAGGACAUUCAGAAAAUAGUUGAUAUUUUUAUACAGCACUGAAAACAAAGAAAAUUAAUGUGAUAUUUUCAGUGAUGGGCUUAUAUCCUGAGCUGUCCAGAUUUAAUAUAGAUCAUCAUAACUGUGUAUCCUGAAAUUCAGAAAUAGAAAACUUAUCACUUGUACAUUUUCUUAUAUUUUAAUCAAGUCUAACAUUUGAGUGUGUAACCUAUGUAUGUAUGUGUUUAUUUUUAUUAAAAUGUGUGUCAUCUCGAGAAGAGGAGCUUCUACUUGAUAUCAUCAUGAGAAAUGUGUGAAUGUGUGAGUUUUUUUUUCUUAAUGUAUUGUGUUUCCUUCAGGAGCCUCAGUGAAUGUGUGAAUCUUCUGUAAUAGUUGUGUUUGAGUCCCUCAGUAGUCUUCAGUGUGAAAAGAUGAAUCUCAAAAUCAGACAGUCACUGCUGGAAAGAGUUCAGAUACGCAAAAGAUGCUGGUAAACUGAAGAAUCUGCAGGAGCUAGAGGAUUUUUAUUAUGUUUAAACGUAAUCAUCUAUUAUAUAAAAUAUCUUACUCGGGUCAGUACU